UAGGGAAUCUUCUACAAUGGACGCAAGUCUGAUGGAGCAACGCCGCGUGAGUGAAGAAGGUCUUCGGAUCGUAAAGCUCUGUUGUUGGUGAAGAAGGAUAGAGGCAGUAACUGGUCUUUAUUUGACGGUAAUCAACCAGAAAGUCACGGCUAACUACGUGCCAGCAGCCGCGGUAAUACGUAGGUGGCAAGCGUUGUCCGGAUUUAUUGGGCGUAAAGCGAGCGCAGGCGGAAUGAUAAGUCUGAUGUGAAAGCCCACGGCUCAACCGUGGAACUGCAUCGGAAACUGUCAUUCUUGAGUGCAGAAGAGGAGAGUGGAACUCCAUGUGUAGCGGUGGAAUGCGUAGAUAUAUGGAAGAACACCAGUGGCGAAGGCGGCUCUCUGGUCUGCAACUGACGCUGAGGCUCGAAAGCAUGGGUAGCGAACAGGAUUAGAUACCCUGGUAGUCCAUGCCGUAAACGAUGAGCGCUAGGUGUUGGGGCACUUUCC
Molecule: ribosomal RNA, 489 nt
Filed under: uncultured bacterium
Lineage: Bacteria
Description: partial 16S ribosomal RNA
Rfam family: Bacterial small subunit ribosomal RNA
Source: RNAcentral